This is a long non-coding RNA of Cyprinus carpio (common carp), 1103 nucleotides long. NCBI's taxonomy places the organism in Eukaryota, Metazoa, Chordata, Actinopteri, Cypriniformes, Cyprinidae. The record is from Ensembl.
GUCUCCUCCAGGCCCUGAGAGUCACCCAGCAUCUCACACACGGCAAAUGUUCUCUGCUCUUCAGUAUGAUUGACAGUUUGUGGCGUCCUUCGGUUGAUCCAAAAUCUCAUGACGAUCUGCUGCAGUCUCCCAGCGAUCGAGUCCCACCGUCCAGUGUCCAGCAGGGUCACAUAGUUCCCUUAUCAGGACAGACUGAAACUCUACUGUACUGACCACCUGUACUUCAGACGCUAAGAGAGAUCCUUGAGAACGAAUCUUCGAGGUGCUGUUGCAGCUUUUGGGCCACUGUGGUUCAUAAACAAUUACUGGUAAUGUUCUCGUAACCUAUUUUUAACAACAAAUGCAUAAAUCAGAUCAUCAUUUUUCAUCAUAGCUAUCUUUGUGGGCCAUCUUGGCACGCCUGGUUUAAAGAGUGUGAGAAAUAGCCUUUAGAUUGUCUUCUUAAGAACCCACGUGGCUGUUUUCCCAGCACAUUUGCCAAGUCUUCAUCCCUCAGGGUUGCUUCCAAACUGUACACCUUUGGAAAAGUGUUUGGAAAGCUUUACGCGCUGUUUGACGCAAGCUUCCCGUAAGUGACAUCAUCCAUUGACAAUCUGUUUGACUGAUCUAACAAACCCUCAGACUGUGGACUUUGAUAACCUGGGAUUUAUUUGUAGGAGGUUAAGUGCCAUGCACACACGCUGGCGUGGAUAGUAAAUUAACGUUUUGUUUUGAUACUGACAUUGCACAUCUGUGUAGGUGUAACUGGCCCUAAAGCAUUUGUCCUGUAAUAAUAACAGAUUUAUGUCUUUAUAAAUGAGGCAAAACAAAUGAAGUUUUAUUUAGCCUUGUGUAUUCAAAGCUUUGUUUGAUUAACACCCAUAUUUUCCCCAAAUUUACAUACAUAUUAUUAUUGCAGAAUAAUAAUUCCUUUGCCAUUUUCCCUUUAUCUGAACAGCUUUUUAUUCUUUUACAUUUUUAUCCCAAAAUUUAUUUAAAAUGAGAAAUGUUGCCUUGGUAACUAGAUUAAAUUAAAUCUCAUUUCCAAGCCUUAUUUCUAUAUUUAAUUUAGUUUAACUUGAUGUACUAAAAAUGAAAUAAAAAUAAAUACAAACUAUAUAACA